This 491-nucleotide ribosomal RNA is filed under the name uncultured Enterobacterales bacterium. Its description in RNAcentral is "bacterial SSU rRNA". It matches the Rfam family "Bacterial small subunit ribosomal RNA", at positions 30 to 508 of the family's 1533-position model. The record is from RNAcentral. Lineage: Bacteria; Pseudomonadati; Pseudomonadota; Gammaproteobacteria; Enterobacterales.
AUUGAACGCUGGCGGCAGGCCUAACACAUGCAAGUCGAACGGUAGCACAGAGGAGCUUGCUCCUUGGGUGACGAGUGGCGGACGGGUGAGUAAUGUCUGGGAAACUGCCCGAUGGAGGGGGAUAACUACUGGAAACGGUAGCUAAUACCGCAUAACGUCGCAAGACCAAAGAGGGGGACCUUCGGGCCUCUUGCCAUCGGAUGUGCCCAGAUGGGAUUAGCUAGUAGGUGGGGUAACGGCUCACCUAGGCGACGAUCCCUAGCUGGUCUGAGAGGAUGACCAGCCACACUGGAACUGAGACACGGUCCAGACUCCUACGGGAGGCAGCAGUGGGGAAUAUUGCACAAUGGGCGCAAGCCUGAUGCAGCCAUGCCGCGUGUAUGAAGAAGGCCUUCGGGUUGUAAAGUACUUUCAGCGAGGAGGAAGGCGUUGUGGUUAAUAACCGCAACGAUUGACGUUACUCGCAGAAGAAGCACCGGCUAACUCCGUGC